UACGUAGGGUGCGAGCGUUGUCCGGAAUUACUGGGCGUAAAGAGCUCGUAGGUGGUUUGUCGCGUUGUCCGUGAAAACUCACAGCUCAACUGUGGGCGUGCGGGCGAUACGGGCAGACUGGAGUACUGUAGGGGAGACUGGAAUUCCUGGUGUAGCGGUGGAAUGCGCAGAUAUCAGGAGGAACACCCGUGGCGAAAGCGGCUCUCUGGAACGGUACUGACGCUGAGACGCGAAGGCCAGGGGAGCAAACGGG
RNAcentral lists this ribosomal RNA (253 nucleotides) under uncultured bacterium. RNAcentral describes it as "partial 16S ribosomal RNA". It matches the Rfam family "Bacterial small subunit ribosomal RNA", at positions 524 to 776 of the family's 1533-position model. The record is from RNAcentral.